UUGGUGCCAGUCACUCAAGUCAGUCCCCACUUUUUUCUUCUUUCUCCUUCUACUAGUUGCUUCUGUCCGGAUCUCGAUACUUCCAUUUUCCGCAUAAUUUUUUUUUUUUUUACUUUUCUCUGUAUCUGUGUUUAUCUGGAGCUUGUGAAUCGCUGGAUUGAACUGAGAAAGCUGUGCAAUUCUGAAGUGGAAAAUGGACGGAGUUCAUGAGGCUACGGUGGCGGGGAAUUUGACGUCACCGCCUUUUCUGAACAAGACGUAUGAUAUGGUGGAUGAUCCAUCGACGGAUUCUGUUGUGUCAUGGAGUAAGAGUAACAAUAGCUUUGUUGUUUUGAAUGUGCCGGAGUUUGCUAGAGAUAUUUUGCCCAAGUAUUUCAAGCACAACAACUUCUCCAGCUUCGUCAGGCAGUUGAAUACUUAUGGUUUCAGGAAAGUUGAUCCAGACCGCUGGGAAUUUGCGAACGAGGGAUUUCUUAGAGGCUACAAACACCUAUUGAAGAGUAUAAGCAGGCGAAAACCCUCUCAGUUGCAGGGCCAUCAACAAACCACCUCCAAAGUACCAAAUGCAUCUGUUGCAUCCUGUGUUGAAGUUGGAAAGUUUGGAAUAGAGGAAGAAGUGGAAAGGCUUAAAAGAGAUAAGGAUGUCCUUAUGCAGGAGCUGGUUAAGUUGAGACAGCAGCAGCAGGAGACGGAUCACCAAUUGGUGACUGUUGGGCAGCGCGUUCAAUUAAUGGAGAGCAGGCAACAACAAAUGAUGUCGUUCCUUGCCAAGGCCAUGCAGAGCCCUGGCUUUGUAGCUCAACUAGUACAUCAACAGAAUGGCAAUAACAGGCAUAUUACUGGGCUUAAUAAGAAAAGGAGACUUCCUGAACAGGCUGAAGAAAAUGUUGCGUGCAAGCCUGUCAAUGCUUUGCAAGAUGGACAGGUAGUCAGGUAUCAACCUUCAAUGACCGAAGCUGCAAAAGCGUUGCUGCAGCAGAUUUUGAGAAUAAAUGCAUCUGGGAGGCUGGACAACCGAUUACACACAAAUGGCGGCUGUUUGACUAAUAAUCCCCUCCCGCCUAACAAUUCUCUAGGCAGUAGCGGUGCAUCCAGUUGUAUUUCCAGUGUUACCCUCUCCGAAGUACUGUCAACUUCUUCACAGCCUAAUCUGAUAUCAGAUUCUGGAUUUCCAUUCAACUCUUGUUCAUCCAUCAUAUCUGAGACCCAAUCAACCACUACUGUGGUUCCUGGGGAGGCCAACAUUCCCAUAUUACCUGAAGCUGAUGCAUUGAACUCUCAGGCAGUCCAUGAUUUGCCUGAAUUUUCUCAUACUCUUGGAGUAACUGACGUUAAUAUGCCUGAGACUGGAAAUGUACCAGAUAUGGACACAACGAAAUGUAUUUUGGAUGAUUUAACAACGAUUGUCUCUGAUGAAUUUUCGGCUAACACAGAUGGGGAUGUUUUGCUGGAUGGUAUGCCUAAGCUUCCAGCGAUUAAUGAUAUUUUCUGGGACCAGAUUCUCUCUGCAACCCCUGCAAGCCCUCUCACUGGGGAUACAGAUGAGAUUGGUUCCUUAGUCGUGGAAGAGGAUCUCCUUGGAGUUCAGGAGAGUGAUUGGGAUAAAUUAAAGCAUAUGCAUAAUCUUACUGAACAGAUGGGGUUACUAUCAUCGGCUGCCCAAAUUUGAUGAUUGCAUGUAUUUUUUUGAAAGCUUGCACUGACGCAGGUAAAUCUUCGUCCUCCACUAUGAGCUUAUUGCUAGCCUAUCAGAUUACAGAUCAUGGAGAACUCCUGCUAUUCAGGCAGGGUAUUCUGAAUUAUUGUGCUACUGCCUUGAGCACGACUGCUGAAGUGUGGUGAACUUCUAGAGGAUGUAGAGCAAUGAACUCCCCCCAUGUGGUAAUAUUUUGUCAGGUGGAUACUCUGAACUGGUUUGCAUUAAGAAGCUCCUCUUGAAAGACUGUUCUUACCUACUAAUAAUGAUGAUGCUCUGUGUAGCCGGUAGCGAAAAGGCGAUCUUAAAAGACUAGUUUGAUGUAUUUUAUUCGGAAUUUUUGUGUGUACAUUUAUCUGGCACAAUGGGUUAGUUUAAAAAGAACAGUAAAAUGUUCCUUCUUUUACUUAUUAAGAAAUUGAAGAAGGGAUGUAAACAAGUUGUUGCAGAGGAUCUUUGUGUAACUUCUAUUGUUUACAAAAUGCAACGAUUUCGAUGGAAGAUGCAAGAAAUAUGAAUGGACGUUAUUCUGAGGCUUAGAUAUUUCAA
RNA transcript from Solanum lycopersicum (tomato), 2245 nucleotides. It is a transcript of the gene named heat stress transcription factor A-1, with no coding region annotated. The record is from RefSeq and is a predicted model, not a curated record. Lineage: Eukaryota; Viridiplantae; Streptophyta; Magnoliopsida; Solanales; Solanaceae.